RNAcentral lists this long non-coding RNA (2336 nucleotides) under Manduca sexta (tobacco hornworm). RNAcentral describes it as "uncharacterized LOC119188911". The record is from RNAcentral. Lineage: Eukaryota; Metazoa; Arthropoda; Insecta; Lepidoptera; Sphingidae.
UGCAGCAAAAAUGUACCAUUUCAGGAAACGAAACGUAACUUACGACUCAAGGGCCCUGGCAACACUGGCCAUGAUGCGACGUCAUCAAAUUCAAGUUCGUCGUCGAGUAGUAGCACAUUCAUAAUAUAAAAGGCGAAGGCAUUGGAUGAAGGAAAAAUAACAUUAGUGAGAAAUAAGAUAAGAUAAGAAGAAAGAUUACAAAAAUUUGAAGCAUCUACAUGAAGUCCUAUACGCAAUAACUUAAACAUCAUUGAAGAGCACGAAUUAUUAGCUUUCCGCUGCACCACGCUGCACCACGCUGCAUAUCGCGACCGUAUGGCGUUACAUCGUGAUUGCAGAACGCAGCAUUUUUUUUAACUAAGACAUUCAAAGUUUAAAACUUCUUAAUUUUUCAUGAUAUUCAAAUCGUUAUAUUAUAACCAUCAUCAUAAUCGAAUACCUCACGAUUUAAUUAAGAAAAAAUAGUUUUAUCACAAAAGCAAUUUCUUAUUACACCUUUAUUUUAAAUAAACGAUCUCAAUCGCUAUUUACGUUUUAUCUCAAAAAUGGACCAAUCAGAACAAAGUUUUUUUGACAUGUUUACAAAUGAGUUAUUUUGAUUGGUUCAGUCUCUGAAACGCAUUGAAGGUUGAUAUUUAGAUUGUUAAUUGUUUAUCAAAAAGGAGUGACAGAGCAUAGAGACAGGGAGGACCAACACUUUGUAUAAAAAGUGUAUACCAAAAAUCGUUAAUUCUACCCAUGACUUGACAUCACAAGGGACUAAAAGUUAUAGAGUAGGAUAUUUAAACAAGAAAAAACUUUUCCCGUUGGUUAUAGUAAAGGUUUUAUGCAGUGCACUUUCGUCAAUCUUCAUACAUCAACUACAUAAGUAAUCAGAGAUAAUAUUUUUUUCCACCGGGCAUAUUAUUUACUUUCUUUUCAUGUCAUAACCUCCUGCGACACUAGCGCUAUUGUGGUGGGUUUUGAGUUUUAAUUUGCUGCUACCGCUGCUCUGGAUAUAUUUUCAACUUGUUACUUGUCCCUCAUUACUAUUGAUGGUCCUCCUUUCCUCUACCCUGCAUAGUGCAUAUACUUAUGUAUUGAAAAGCUUUAUCCUCAGAGCUUUGUCGACCUAUCUUAUGUAGCUAUGCUUAAUUUUAAUUAACAAGUACCAACAAACUAGUAUUCUAGUUUUCAUCUGAAUUUUAAUGACUCUCGAAAUAAUUAGAAAAUGUUUUGUUGCCUUCACUCAAUUAUAAAUCGAUAUGAACAAGAUCAGUGUCACAAAACUUUUAUUUUAAUAAGUACUUAUAGCUUUAGUCAUAAAGUAAUAUACUACGUAAGAGCUUUAGCUAUUGACUUAUUGUUCUGAGAUGCUGAUAUACAACGAGUAAGCCAUAUCUAGUGUUCAAAAUAUAAAUACCUAAUCUUUCGUUUGGUCUAAAUCAUCUCAACUGUAGGUAGAUGCCUACCUACUUAUUUAAUCAAUUGUCAAUAAUUCAAUCAGUGUAUUGCCGUCCUCUGAUGAAUGUAGGCCUCUCCAAGUCGGACCCAUCAUCCCGGGCUUGAGCAACUCGCCUCCAUCAUCUGUUCGAUACCAAUUGCUUACCUUUAAUAUGUAGGGGUGAAGGAAGCACUAUUGGACACUAUUUAUUAAAAGCGUUCUUUUUUAUUUCAUGUAAAUACAUGAAAAGCUGGAGUAUAAGAUCGAUGUAUUGUGUUAAGGAGAAACAUGAAAUCAAUGUAUUUAUCGACCUAAAUAUUUUUUAUGAUUUUAUUUUUAUUGCCAUGUCCUAAUCUGCCUCCCUUCCACAUUACCGAUAGGAAUUAAGAACACGCUUUAAAGCGUUUAUGGCUUUGAAAUAUCUAUUAUGUGACUAAUAAAAAAAAAAAACUAAUACACAAUCUUGUUUCCAAAGGAUUAGGCAGAGGCGCACCCAAGACCUAAUACACCUAACUCUACUUCGCCGAGCUAGUAACAUCAGUCUGAUUCCGGAAAAAGCGAUUAUGAGCGAAGGAAAAUCCGGACCCAAAAAAAUAAUGAAUUUAAUUAUAACAGAUAUUUGAACAUGUACUAGUUUUAUGUGCGUGGAUCAUGUAUAGUGAAUCGUCAAGGUCAUACAGUACUCGGACUUAUCAAUAAGGGUAAAAGUCAAAACUGGAACAUACUGUAUCAAUAAUAAUUUAUUCAGAGUUCAGCAUUACAAUCAUUGGUUUUUGUUGAUUUCUACAAUACUGCAACAUAACUCUUUUUGUGUAAAAAUCAAUUAUAAAUGACAUACACUACUCUCAAAGUAGUAAAAUAAUUUAGAUUAAUAAACGGCUAUAAUUAAACUUAACAAAUAAGCAUCGACAAU